RNAcentral lists this ribosomal RNA (402 nucleotides) under uncultured bacterium. Its description in RNAcentral is "bacterial SSU rRNA". It matches the Rfam family "Bacterial small subunit ribosomal RNA", at positions 791 to 1195 of the family's 1533-position model. The record is from RNAcentral.
UAGUCCACGCCGUAAACGAUGUGUGCUAGAUGUCGGGUCCAUAGGAUUCGGUGUCGCAGCUAACGCACUAAGCACACCGCCUGGGGAGUACGGUCGCAAGAUUAAAACUCAAAGGAAUUGACGGGGGGCCCGCACAAGCGGUGGAGCAUGUGGUUUAAUUCGACGCAACGCGCAGAACCUUACCAACCCUUGACAUCCUGUGCUAACCCGAGAGAUCGGGCGUUCCCUUCGGGGACGCAGUGACAGGUGCUGCAUGGCUGUCGUCAGCUCGUGUCGUGAGAUGUUCGGUUAAGUCCGGCAACGAGCGCAACCCACGUCCUUAGUUGCCAUCCGUCUGGUGGGCACUCUAAGGAAACUGCCCGUGAUAAGCGGGAGGAAGGUGUGGAUGACGUCAAGUCCUCA